UACGUAGGGAGCAAGCGUUGUCCGGAAUGAUUGGGCGUAAAGGGCGCGUAGGCGGCUCGGUAAGUCUGGAGUGAAAGUCCUUCUUUCAAGGAGGGAAUUGCUUUGGAUACUGUCGGGCUUGAGUGCAGGAGAGGUAAGUGGAAUUCCCAGUGUAGCGGUGAAAUGCGUAGAGAUUGGGAGGAACACCAGUGGCGAAGGCGACUUACUGGACUGUAACUGACGCUGAGGCGCGAAAGUGUGGGGAGCAAACAGGAUUAGAUACCCUGGUAGU
This 271-nucleotide ribosomal RNA is filed under the name uncultured prokaryote. RNAcentral describes it as "partial 16S ribosomal RNA". It matches the Rfam family "Bacterial small subunit ribosomal RNA", at positions 524 to 794 of the family's 1533-position model. The record is from RNAcentral.